RNAcentral lists this ribosomal RNA (443 nucleotides) under uncultured Clostridium sp. RNAcentral describes it as "bacterial SSU rRNA". It matches the Rfam family "Bacterial small subunit ribosomal RNA", at positions 338 to 795 of the family's 1533-position model. The record is from RNAcentral. Lineage: Bacteria; Bacillati; Bacillota; Clostridia; Eubacteriales; Clostridiaceae.
CCUACGGGGGGCUGCAGUGGGGAAUAUUGCACAAUGGGGGAAACCCUGAUGCAGCAACGCCGCGUGAAGGAAGACGGUUUUCGGAUUGUAAACUUCUAUCAAUAGGGACGAAAAAAAUGACGGUACCUAAAUAAGAAGCCCCGGCUAACUACGUGCCAGCAGCCGCGGUAAUACGUAGGGGGCAAGCGUUAUCCGGAAUUACUGGGUGUAAAGGGUGAGUAGGCGGCAUGACAAGUAAGAUGUGAAAGCCCGCAGCUUAACUGCGGGAUUGCAUUUUAAACUGUUGAGCUAGAGUGCAGGAGAGGAAAGCGGAAUUCCCAGUGUAGCGGUGAAAUGCGUAGAUAUUGGGAAGAACACCAGUGGCGAAGGCGGCUUUCUGGACUGAAACUGACGCUGAGGCACGAAAGCGUGGGGAGCGAACAGGCUUAGAUACCCCAGUAGUC